UUAGUCUUGUAAUUUAAGACUGGAAUGAAAGAGUUAAUGAAAGAGAAACUCUUUUUAACAUACUUUUCAAACUUUACUUUUUAGUAAAAAGGCUAAAAUACUAUUUAAAGACAAGAAGACCCUAUAAAUCUUCACACACAAAGAUUGAAAAGAUCAAAAAUGUGUUUAGCUGGGGCGGCAGAGAGCAUCUCACUCUUAAAUAUAUCAAGAAUUAUCCACAUCACCAGAAAUUCUGAAAAUAAAACAAGUUACUUUAGGGAUAACAGCGUAAUAUAUUUAGAAAGCUCAAAUCGAUAAAUAUGAUUGCGACCUCGAUGUUGGAUUGGUUAUCCUUUGUACUAUGCAAGAGUAGCAAGAGGAGGUC
RNAcentral lists this ribosomal RNA (364 nucleotides) under Alayotityus sierramaestrae. RNAcentral's name for it is "partial 16S ribosomal RNA". It matches the Rfam family "Archaeal large subunit ribosomal RNA", at positions 2045 to 2646 of the family's 2987-position model. Lineage: Eukaryota; Metazoa; Arthropoda; Arachnida; Scorpiones; Buthidae. The record is from RNAcentral.